This is a long non-coding RNA of Alnus glutinosa, 1577 nucleotides long. RefSeq lists it as uncharacterized. The transcript is spliced from 2 exons. The record is from RefSeq and is a predicted model, not a curated record. NCBI's taxonomy places the organism in Eukaryota, Viridiplantae, Streptophyta, Magnoliopsida, Fagales, Betulaceae.
AUACACUACGGUAGUAAUGAUUCCAUCCACUCAUCACCCUCACAUUUUUAAAAUCCAACUUAUUCUCCACUUUGAUUUUAAUAUACCUCCCUCAUCAUUUUGCCUCUUAUUCUAAAUAUUUUAUUACCCUCUUUUCUUCAACAACUUCCUUAUUCUCGACUUCUUUCCAUUCUCCCACCAACCUCUCCAGCUCCUACACUCAUUACAACCAUUUACUCUCCAGCUCAUGCACUCAUUAUAGCCAUUCACAAUUGCUGCCUAAGCCUUUUCGGGGCCUUUAUAACUGACUGCCUCUCUUCAGAAAAGACUGGCACCUCUUGAGUACUAAGCUCUUCCUUCUUCCUUAUUUUCUCCUUUCUCCUUCUUUUCUAUUCUGCUUCUUCUCUAUUCCUUUUUGUUACUCAAAACAGAGAGUGAGAUGAAAGAUAAGAGAUCGAGAGGGAGAGAUCCGGCCGAUUCGUGAAGCCCAAAACCCAGCAGUAACCCAGCCCAUAAUCCAUUCAACCCAAAGCCCACGAGCCAAACCUAGAACACUCAAGCCCAUUCAGCAAGCCCGAGAUCCAUAAGCCCGAGACCCAUCAACCCGGAACCCCGACCCGCCGGCGACCCGCCGCCGGCAGUUUCUCCGGCGACUUCUCCGGCGACUUUUCCGGCCACUUUUCCGGCGACUUUCCGGCCACUUUCCGGCUAUUUUCCCAGGCGACCAAACUCACCGUUUCGCUGGAUUUUCGAGUGGAAAUCCUUAAUAUGAUGAAUUGAGACAGCACAAAAAGGACUGUAAGUAUUUUUAUACUUACUGAGGGUAGCACUGGAUUUCAGUAAUGUUGUGUUUAUGUUUUAUUUUAAUUGGAUGCGUGUGACUGAUUAUUGCAUACUGUUAAUAAUCAACCUAUUAAUAUUGGGCGCGACGUCUCCCAAAGGUUCAUGAUAGAGUUGAACCGGAAACAAUAAUAAUCAUAUUGAUUGGAACGGCUUUCAAAGUACUAGAGGAGGGAGGUCUCCGAUAGUGCGAAAACAAGUUAAUUAAAAUGUAAUGUAGAGGGGACGGCCUCGAGAAACACGAUUAAACGGGGGGACGUGCCCUUACAAGAGAGGAGUGUAAUCACUAUAUAAACUGUUAAACUUUGCAUGAAAAACUAUCACCACAUCAUUAUGUCAUAUCUGUUCCUUAAAAUAACGCAUAAAUCAUGAUGUUGUUGAAAGACAGUUAGCUCACUCAUGGAACUAUGGGAUUGUGGCGGUAACCACCUUCUCAUAGAUGUUUGCGCAGGUACUGAAGAUUAUGGAAUGGAUUAACUGCUAGCUUAAGAGAUUUAUAGCUGUGUAGUUAGGAUUUUAGUACUUUGUACUCAUAGAUGUUUGUACUAUUUGCUUGUAAUAUGUCUAGACAUUUACUUGUAAUUAAUAAGUUCCAUGCAGGCUUUAGUGUCAUAUGUGACACAUGUUUCUUUGUAAAUAGUGUAAAGAUUUUUAAUGUAUUUUCUAGAAGAUGUCAGUUAAAGCUCUGAAUAUAUCGUAAGGGAGUUGUCCCUAUCGGUGAUGUUUAAAAAAAAAAGAUAUUCGUAUUUUUCCGCUGC